GGGUUGUGAGGUUAAGUGACUAAGCGUACACGGUGGAUGCCUAGGCAGUCAGAGGCGAUGAAGGGCGUGCUAAUCUGCGAAAAGCGUCGGUAAGGUGAUAUGAACCGUUACAACCGGCGAUACCCGAAUGGGGAAACCCAGUGUGUUUCGACACAUUAUCAUGUCAUGAAUACAUAGUGGCAUGAGGCGAACCGGGGGAACUGAAACAUCUAAGUACCCCGAGGAAAAGAAAUCAACCGAGAUUCCCCCAGUAGCGGCGAGCGAACGGGGAGGAGCCCAGAACCUGAAUCGGCUUGUGUGUUAGUGGAAGCGUCUGGA
RNAcentral lists this ribosomal RNA (318 nucleotides) under Serratia marcescens. Its description in RNAcentral is "bacterial LSU rRNA". It matches the Rfam family "Bacterial large subunit ribosomal RNA", at positions 1 to 314 of the family's 2925-position model. Lineage: Bacteria; Pseudomonadati; Pseudomonadota; Gammaproteobacteria; Enterobacterales; Yersiniaceae. The record is from RNAcentral.